This is a non-coding RNA of Pelobates cultripes (western spadefoot toad), 492 nucleotides long. Lineage: Eukaryota; Metazoa; Chordata; Amphibia; Anura; Pelobatidae. The record is from the annotation of a GenBank genome assembly.
CCCUGUAAUUCACACUGCUGCUGGGGUUCUGAGCCGACUGCCCAGCAUCCCUGUAGCUCACCCUGCCACUGGGGAGGGAGGACGCUGCUCUCCUCUCCCUGCAAGGUACACUGCCGCUGGGGGACAGGACCAACUGUCUCUGCCCCCUGUAACUCAGCCUGCCGCUGGGGAAUGGAGCCUGGGCUCCCAAUUCCCUGCAAUAUACUCUGCCGCUGGGGAUCUGAGCCGACCGCCCAGCAUCCCUGUAGCUCACCCUGCCACUGGUGAGGGAGGACGCUGCUCUCCUCUCCCUGCAAGGUACACUGCCGCUGGGGGACAGGACCAACUGUCUCUGUCCCCUGUAACUCAGCCUGCCGCUGGGGAAUGGAGCCUGGGCUCCCAAUUCCCUGCAGGAUCGGUGGAGAGACCUCGGUCCCAUCUCCACCAACCACCUGGGGUUCUUCCCUGUAAUACUCUGCAAUAUCUACCCAGCUGAAUGGGUCUGGAUCUGGG